GGCUUUUUGGAAACAAAAGGCAGGAAAGUCCGGACAGCAUAGGGCAACGCACCACCUAACGGGUGGGGCUUUUCGCUUCGGUGAAGAGAACAGACAGUGCCACAGAAAAUAACCGCCUUCCGGGGUAAGGGUGAAAAUGUGGGGUAAGAGCCCACGGCAGAACCGGGUAACCUGUUCUGCGGGUAAACCUUGCGUGCUGAAAUGCCAUGUAAACGGUCGUUUGAGGGCUGCCCGCCCGAUGACCGAGGGUAGGCAGAUACAGGUAUUCAGU
RNAcentral lists this unclassified non-coding RNA (271 nucleotides) under Chitinophaga niabensis. RNAcentral describes it as "Bacterial RNase P class A". It matches the Rfam family "Bacterial RNase P class A", at positions 19 to 293 of the family's 367-position model. From Rfam's summary of the family: Ribonuclease P (RNase P) is a ubiquitous endoribonuclease, found in archaea, bacteria and eukarya as well as chloroplasts and mitochondria. Lineage: Bacteria; Pseudomonadati; Bacteroidota; Chitinophagia; Chitinophagales; Chitinophagaceae. The record is from RNAcentral.